GACGAACGCUGGCGGCGUGCUUAACACAUGCAAGUCGAACGGAAAGGCCCUGCUUGCAGGGUACUCGAGAGGCGAACGGGUGAGUAACACGUGGGUGAUCUGCCCUUCACAUCGGGAUAAGCCUGGGAAACUGGGUCUAAUACCGGAUAGGAGACAAUAUUAGUGUUAUGGUUGGAAAGAUUUUUCGGUGUAGGAUGAGCUCGCGGCCUAUCAGCUUGUUGGUGGGGUAAUGGCCUACCAAGGCGGCGACGGGUAGCCGGCCUGAGAGGGUGGACGGCCACAUUGGGACUGAGAUACGGCCCAGACUCCUACGGGAGGCAGCAGUGGGGAAUAUUGCACAAUGGGCGCAAGCCUGAUGCAGCGACGCCGCGUGGGUGAUGACGGCCUUCGGGUUGUAAACUCCUUUCGCUAGGGACGAAGCUUUUUGUGACGGUACCUAGAUAAGAAGCACCGGCUAACUACGUG
Molecule: ribosomal RNA, 465 nt
Filed under: uncultured bacterium
Lineage: Bacteria
Description: partial 16S ribosomal RNA
Rfam family: Bacterial small subunit ribosomal RNA
Source: RNAcentral